UCCUACGGGGCGCAGCAGUGAGGAAUAUUGGUCAAUGGGCGAGAGCCUGAACCAGCCAAGUCGCGUGAGGGAAGACGGUCCUAUGGAUUGUAAACCUCUUUUGCCGGGGAGCAAAAAGCGGUACGUGUACCGCAUCGGGAGUACCCGGAGAAAAAGCAUCGGCUAACUCCGUGCCAGCAGCCGCGGUAAUACGGAGGAUUCAAGCGUUAUCCGGAUUUAUUGGGUUUAAAGGGUGCGUAGGCGGUUCGAUAAGUUAGAGGUGAAAUCCCGGGGCUCAACUCCGGCACUGCCUCUGAUACUGUCGG
Molecule: ribosomal RNA, 305 nt
Filed under: uncultured bacterium
Lineage: Bacteria
Description: bacterial SSU rRNA
Rfam family: Bacterial small subunit ribosomal RNA
Source: RNAcentral